Molecule: ribosomal RNA, 387 nt
Filed under: uncultured bacterium
Lineage: Bacteria
Description: bacterial SSU rRNA
Rfam family: Bacterial small subunit ribosomal RNA
Source: RNAcentral
AUUGAACGCUGGCGGAAUGCUUUACACAUGCAAGUCGAGCGGCAGCGCGGGGCAACCUGGCGGCGAGCGGCGAACGGGUGAGUAAUGCACCGGAACGUAUCCAAUAAUGGGGGGAUAACGCACCGAAAGGUGUGCUAAUACCGCAUACGCCCUGAGGGGGAAAGCGGGGGAUCGUAAGACCUCGCGUUAAAUGGAGCGGCCGAUGCCGGAUUAGCUAGUUGGUGAGGUAAAGGCUCACCAAGGCGACGAUCCGUAGCUGGUCUGAGAGGACGACCAGCCACACUGGAACUGAGACACGGUCCAGACUCCUACGGGAGGCAGCAGUGGGGAAUUUUGGACAAUGGGCGCAAGCCUGAUCCAGCCAUUCCGCGUGAGUGAAGAAGGCCU